Molecule: long non-coding RNA, 638 nt
Organism: Zophobas morio
Lineage: Eukaryota; Metazoa; Arthropoda; Insecta; Coleoptera; Tenebrionidae
Exons: 3
Source: RefSeq, a predicted model, not a curated record
CCUUUAAUUGUGUCGAAAUAAGUAGUGUGAAUAUUUUAAUCUCUUUUUUUUCUUUUUUUCUUUCUUUCUAAUUUGAUAAAUCGGUUGUCCCUUACUUAUGUAUUUUUUUUUUUAAUAGUUUGAAACUAAAUUGGUAGUUGCUAGUUUCAUAAAACAUUUUAUUUACUAACUACCUGGCGCCCACUAAUCAGUCUCCCCCUUACAUCCUUUCAAUAAAAUCGACUGCAAAGAGGUUAAAUUUCGAGAGAACCUGCGACCCGCCGCCGAAACAACUGAGUGCCGUACGCAGUGGCCGCUUUUCAAAAUUGGAAACGACUAUAUCAACUGAUGCAGGCAAUUCUGCGUCAACGCCAAUCAAACGAAAAUUGGAUUCUUGUCCGGUUCAAAAUCCGAAUGUUCUCGAAAAACUCGACUGGGGCGAUUAUAAAACUGGCCAUUUAAAAACACCCAGAUCUCAACAACUGCAUACCAUUUCUUCGAGGAGGAGGCCUACACUACAGGCAUUGCAUUCUAGCCACAUAUCGAAAAUGUAUGAUGAGUUGGCCAAGAAAAAAUUGCAGUUAGCGGACGUGCAACUAGAAGAAAUGAAAAUUCAACUCGAAGAACGGAAAAAGGAGACGGAACGGAGGAAAACAGAA